RNAcentral lists this long non-coding RNA (1315 nucleotides) under Mus musculus (house mouse). Its description in RNAcentral is "RIKEN cDNA 4930500H12 gene". Lineage: Eukaryota; Metazoa; Chordata; Mammalia; Rodentia; Muridae. The record is from RNAcentral.
GUGGCUUGCCACUGUGAGAGGUCAGGAGAGACCAUUGGUGAAGGUGCAGCCUCAGUAGCUGUUGAAGGCCAGAUAGACUGAAGGAGUCAUGAAGAGAAACCGAGGCUCGGCAUCAUGAAUAAAUCCUAGGACAUUGGUAAAAGCACAGCCCAGUUGCAGUCAAAGAUCCCAGCAUUGUGGAGAUGCCAGUACCUUGGCAUGAUCACCAAGAGCAGCAGUGGCCAUAGAAUGGCGCCUACCCGAGCUUAGAGGACAAGCUGUGUGUGCUACAGAGGAGCUGGAGAAGUGGCCCAAGCCCCUUGUAGGAGGCCAGAAGAUGGUUAGUGAAUCCCAGGUUUGAUUUGAUGGAUAAAAUUCAAACACAGUGGAUCAAUGUCUCUGAUCUAGAGUCAUAAAAGGGGAACCUCCAGCCAUCAGGAAAAUAAAGGACACCUACCACAGACUCUUGGAUAUUCUAUAAUUGGUGGAAUUUACAAUCUCUCGAGCAGAGCAGUAGAAGAAAUCAACUCUGGUGCUAGGAAAUGUGGCGCCACCUCUGUUUGUAAACUCCAAUCCAGAGCUGUAGUUGUUUCUCCUUUUGGCCCUACACUGUAGAACCAAAGCCGUGCCCAACAGAAGUAGCCUCACCCUGAGUGUCUGAAGCCAGUAUACACGUGAUGGCCUUGACUUCUCACAGGGGCAGACUGUGAACUGGACCUAUAAACCAAACAUUCUCUUCCUCCCUUGAACUGAGCUAGUCAAGGUCUUUGUUAUCACAGGAAGAACUGAAGAAACCAAUGCAUCUAAGGGGCCAGCACAUCCAGAGUGCAAAGGGUAAUCAUUGCCCUAGGAAAGACAACUUUUUGAUCCUGUUUUCUCUACCAGGAAAGUUCUUAUUUCACAAUUGUAAGGACGCUUCGGAAAAAGUUCAUGGAACAUUCAGUUGACAACUGUCCUGGUAUUCAAAUCAAAAGUGUGGUGAUACGAUUUUAUGAAAACAUCUCUUACAUUGAAAGUGACUUUGGUUUUGAUUGAGUCUCACAACCGAGUUACUGAUACAAUUUAAGACCGCUUAAGACUCCGCCGGAGAAGCUACCGUGGAUUCAUCCUUUCUUUUUACAAGAACAAUGUAGUCCAAAAACUUGUCUUAGACUUCCUGUGUACUUAGCUUUCAUAAGCUAAGCUAAUGCAUAGCUAUAACUUUAAAUUAUAUAUUGUGUCAUGCCCCUCGCCAUGAGAGCAAUAUAUGUGUGUUAUGAUAAUCAUUUGUUAAAAACAUCAAAUAGGUUGAGGGGAGCCUUAUACAAUAAAUACCACCAUAAAUGUUGGAAACAGC